Molecule: ribosomal RNA, 434 nt
Filed under: uncultured bacterium
Lineage: Bacteria
Description: bacterial SSU rRNA
Rfam family: Bacterial small subunit ribosomal RNA
Source: RNAcentral
UGAGGAAUAUUGGUCAAUGGACGAGAGUCUGAACCAGCCAAGUAGCGUGAAGGAUGACCGCCCUAUGGGUUGUAAACUUCUUUUGUGUGGGAAUAAAGUGAGCCACGUGUGGCUUUUUGUAUGUACCAUACGAAUAAGGAUCGGCUAACUCCGUGCCAGCAGCCGCGGUAAUACGGAGGAUCCGAGCGUUAUCCGGAUUUAUUGGGUUUAAAGGGAGCGUAGGCGGGACGUUAAGUCAGUUGUGAAAGUUUGCGGCUCAACCGUAAAAUUGCAGUUGAUACUGGCGUCCUUGAGUGCGGCAGAGGCAGGCGGAAUUCGUGGUGUAGCGGUGAAAUGCUUAGAUAUCACGAAGAACUCCGAUUGCGAAGGCAGCUUGCUAGACCGUAACUGACGCUGAUGCUCGAAAGUGCGGGUAUCAAACAGGAUUAGAUACC